GUGUAUUUGCCAGGCCUAUUGUAACGGAGUAAAAAGAGUUGCUAGUUAAAUUAUAUUAAAAUUGAUGCAAUUAUGCCAUCUAGAGGCAGGUUGAUUUAGUGUGACAGUGGGAUUCGCGUUGCAUUUACCCAGACUGGAGAUUACGAGAUACUGGGUAAGUCACGCAAUUUGGGAGGUCUGGGAUAAACAAUGUUUUCUUGUAAUUCUAAGUACAUAUGUCUCGUAUUUUGUCAUGUAAUGUACUUAUAAUGAUUUCAGUUAACUAUUUUGAGUUCAGUUGAUGAUUUAUGUGUCUUGUAAAGUCAUGUUUAAGAGACUUGCAACGAAGCAUAUUUUCAUGUGAACUAGCGUGCUAAUUGUCACUUGCUUUACAUGUUAUUUAGAUUGUUGUCCCGAGAUCUAUUUGCUGAACCCACAAUUCCACACUGUCAUACUUUGUUCCAGGUAACUAUUCUUAUGUUGUGUAAAUGGUUUCAUCGUCAUGUUAUUCUCAUUGUGCAAGCUGCCUUAUACAUUAGCUUUAUAUGGAUAAGCAGCUUGCGCUAGCUUAGCUAUAUUGUAGACCAGCGUGGUAGUUUGGAGAUUAGCCACAUGUGCUCGAGUGCUGCGUUUGCAAUGAUAAACAUGUUCCUUAUUUUGUUAUUUCAAUAUAAUGUAAAAUGGAUCAAGUAGUUUCACUAUUGUAAUGUUGAAAUGUACUGUAUGUAUGUUGUGUAAUUCAAGGCUUAUAUCAGAUAUUCUAAAACUUAGCUACUAUACGAUCACACACAGUUUUAUUUUGUUUCAUAGAUAUAUCAUUUACAUUUGCAACUAGCACAAAUAUAUUCAGGUAUUUGUAGGCUAUAGCAUUUA
Alosa sapidissima (American shad) is the source of this 852-nucleotide long non-coding RNA. RefSeq lists it as uncharacterized. The transcript is spliced from 3 exons. Lineage: Eukaryota; Metazoa; Chordata; Actinopteri; Clupeiformes; Clupeidae. The record is from RefSeq and is a predicted model, not a curated record.